AAACCAGCACCUCAAGUGGUCAGGAUGAUUAUUGGGCCUAAAGCAUCCGUAGCCUGCUCUGUAAGUUUUCGGUUAAAUCUGUACGCUCAACGUACAGGCUGUCGGGAAUACUGCAGAGCUAGGGAGUGGGAGAGGUAGACGGUACUCGGGAGGAAGUGGUAAAAUGCUUUGAUCUCUCGAUGACCACCUGUGGCGAAGGCGGUCUACCAGAACACGUUCGACGGUGAGGGAUGAAAGCUGGGGGAGCAAACCGGAUUAGAAACCCCGGUAGUCC
This 274-nucleotide ribosomal RNA is filed under the name uncultured bacterium. RNAcentral's name for it is "partial 16S ribosomal RNA". It matches the Rfam family "Archaeal small subunit ribosomal RNA", at positions 473 to 747 of the family's 1478-position model. The record is from RNAcentral.